This is a long non-coding RNA of Micropterus dolomieu (smallmouth bass), 1280 nucleotides long. RefSeq lists it as uncharacterized. The record is from RefSeq and is a predicted model, not a curated record. NCBI's taxonomy places the organism in Eukaryota, Metazoa, Chordata, Actinopteri, Centrarchiformes, Centrarchidae. The transcript has 2 exons.
UGUUUUGAGCUUGACUGUUCACAGUAAAGGCUGCAGAGCUACAGCCUGCAGAGCAGUCAGCUGCUCAGUUACUCCAACUGAAUGGGUGACUUGACGGAAGUGCUAAAAAUACAGUGCUGACUCUGCUGCUGCUACGGUAGAGAAGAAUAUCUUCUGGUUUUCCACUGAAAGCUGCAGUAUCAGCUCAUCAAGCAGCAUGUGGGAACUGCAUCAAGCAUGCAUCAGUUAGGAUGGAGCUGGAGGGAAAGCCAGAAGAUCAUCAAAGCCAUCAGAACUCAUCCUCUGGGAACCAUGAGGGUCUCUACCAAAUCUCAUGUCAGUCCAUCCAGACGUUUUUGUGAUAUUUAAGUCUUUUACCUAUAUAUCUGUUAGUUUUACAUUUCAGUUCUAACUACUUAGUGUUGUUUGUUAUAUUGUUCUGUACUUCAUGUGUAAUGUGCAACUCCUAAAGGAAAUAAUGCACCUAAAUCACUUCAACAGUUAAGCGGAAGCUGAUCGUGUACUUUACAUUUCAGACCCAACACCAACACCAGGUCGAGAUAUUCUAGCACCCUUAUAUUCCUGUUGUCUGAACACCUACUUGCUUGUAAAUGAUUAUGAAAAAAAUCCCACACAAAGAGCAUUUCAGGGUUUGAACACAGUCUCUAAGACAAGAUGCUGAUGAUGAAGGUGUUAAGUCCUUUGCAGAGUUACUAAAAAGAGAUGGUUUUAUAGAUGUGAAUAUGCUACAAGAACUGAAAUGUACUUAUUUUACAAUUAGGAAUCUCUCAUUGGAUCACUUGUUUGGAGCUGAAAGAAUAUAAAGCAGGGGAAAAUAGCCAGAUGGUCUGAUAGAGCAAUAUGUAUUUAGUUUAAAUUGUUAACAAAUUGUUUUUGCAUCUGAUUUGUGAUCUGAAACAUCAGUGGUUAAUCCUUCACAAUCAAAGAGGAAGAGAGUCUUUUCAGUUUACACAUUUAGCAAUCACACACAUAGAGAAACAGAUAAUGGCAGAUCAGAUACACAUUUCUCUUCAGCCUCUUAUGGUUUAUGUUCAUUAUGCAACUACUCUGCACGACCGAUUAACAUUUAGUCGAGCCAAGUCUGACAAAAGAGCUGAGAUGUCCCAAAAGGCCACCAUUGCAACAUGACUUUUCCUCUGGAACCACUUUUCUUUUCUUUACCCAUCCAACAAUUGUUUUUCAGUGUGUAAUGAGCCUUCAAGCUGCUAGCAUGGCUCCUUAUUGUAUCACUUUUGGCCAUGUUUGCAUUUCACCAAGUAAAUACAUGUUUCUGAUUAGAA